GAGUUUGAUCCUGGCUCAGGACGAACGCUGGCGGCACGCCUAACACAUKCAAGUCGAACGGAGAUAUUUUGGUUUAYUGAGAUWUMUUAGUGGCGGACGGGKGAGUAACACGUGAGCAACCUGCCUYUGAGAGAGGGAUAGCUUYUGGAAACGGAUGGUAAUACCUCAUAACAUAAMGAAGCCGCAUGACUUUGUUAUCAAAGAUUUAUCACUCAGAGAUGGGCUCGCGUYUGAUUAGAUAGUUGGUGAGGUAACGGCCCACCAAGUCGACGAUCAGUAGCCGGACUGAGAGGUUGAACGGCCACAUUGGGACUGAGACACGGCCCAGACUCCUACGGGAGGCAGCAGUGGGGAAUAUUGCACAAUGGGGGAAACCCUGAUGCAGCGAUGCCGCGUGGAGGAAGAAGGUUUUCGGAUUGUAAACUCCUGUCUAAAGGACGAUAAUGACGGUACUAGAGAGUAU
This 463-nucleotide ribosomal RNA is filed under the name uncultured Bacillota bacterium. RNAcentral describes it as "bacterial SSU rRNA". The record is from RNAcentral. Lineage: Bacteria; Bacillati; Bacillota.